CCUACGGGAGGCAGCAGUGGGGAAUUGUUCGCAAUGGGCGCAAGCCUGACGACGCAACGCCGCGUGGAGGAUGAAGAUCUUCGGGUCGUAAACUCCUUUCGAUCGAGACGAAUUCCUCCGGGGUGAACAAUCCCGGGGGGUGACGGUACCGAGAGAAGAAGCCCCGGCUAACUCCGUGCCAGCAGCCGCGGUAAUACGGGGGGGGCAAGCGUUGUUCGGAAUUACUGGGCGUAAAGGGCUCGUAGGCGGCCAACUAAGUCAAACGUGAAAUCCCUCGGCUUAACCGGGGAACUGCGUCUGAUACUGGAUGGCUCGAGUUUGGGAGAGGGAUGCGGAAUUCCAGGUGUAGCGGUGAAAUGCGUAGAUAUCUGGAGGAACACCGGUGGCGAAGGCGGCAUCCUGGACCAACACUGACGCUGAGGAGCGAAAGCCAGGGGAGC
Molecule: ribosomal RNA, 440 nt
Filed under: uncultured bacterium
Lineage: Bacteria
Description: bacterial SSU rRNA
Rfam family: Bacterial small subunit ribosomal RNA
Source: RNAcentral